CCUUGGUAACCUCAGUUAGUAGAGCGCUCCACUGGAAAUGGAGAGGUCCCAGGUUCGAUACCCGGACCAGGCG
Molecule: transfer RNA, 73 nt
Filed under: Ixodes scapularis (black-legged tick)
Lineage: Eukaryota; Metazoa; Arthropoda; Arachnida; Ixodida; Ixodidae
Description: tRNA-Ser for anticodon GGA
Rfam family: tRNA
About the family: Transfer RNA (tRNA) molecules are approximately 80 nucleotides in length. Their secondary structure includes four short double-helical elements and three loops (D, anti-codon, and T loops).
Source: RNAcentral